Molecule: ribosomal RNA, 400 nt
Filed under: uncultured bacterium
Lineage: Bacteria
Description: bacterial SSU rRNA
Rfam family: Bacterial small subunit ribosomal RNA
Source: RNAcentral
UGAGGAAUAUUGGACAAUGAACGAAAGUUUGAUCCAGCAAUACCAUGUGAGUGAUGAAGGUUAUUUUUUUACUGUAAAACUCUUUUUUUAAUCAAGAUAAUGACAUUAGUUAAAGAAUAAGCUCCGACCAACUUCGUGCCAGCAGUCGCGGUGAAACGGGGGGAGCGAGUAUUACUCAUAGUGACUGGGUGUAAAGGGCAUCUAGGCUGUAUUUUAAGUUAUAUGUGAAAUAUUAAAUAAUUAAGUUUAAUAGUGUAUAUAAUACUGAUAUACUAGAGUUUAAAAGACGAUAGCAGUACUUUUAGUUAAGAGGUGAAAUUCGAAGACAUUAAAAGGACUAUCAGCAGGCGAAAGCGGCUAUCGAGUUUAAACUGACGCUGACAUGCGAAAGUAUAGGGAG